This 377-nucleotide ribosomal RNA is filed under the name Mantidactylus katae. RNAcentral describes it as "partial 16S ribosomal RNA". It matches the Rfam family "Bacterial large subunit ribosomal RNA", at positions 2073 to 2607 of the family's 2925-position model. The record is from RNAcentral. Lineage: Eukaryota; Metazoa; Chordata; Amphibia; Anura; Mantellidae.
GGGAAUAUCCCCAUAAGACGAGAAGACCCCAUGGAGCUUCAAACCCAAUUACACCCCUAACCCCUAUAACUACUUAACCCUUAGGAUUCUGUAUUAUUGGUUUUAGGUUGGGGCGACCACGGAGUACAACAAAACCUCCACAAUGAACGGAACUACUUCCUCAUCUGAGAGCUACAUCUCUAAGAAUUAAAAUAUUAACAUAAAAUGAUCCAUUUUUGAUCAAUGAACCAAGUUACCCUGGGGAUAACAGCGCAAUCCAUUUCAAGAGCCCCUAUCGACAAAUGGGUUUACGACCUCGAUGUUGGAUCAGGGUAUCCUGGUGGUGCAGCAGCUACUAAAGGUUCGUUUGUUCAACGAUCAAAACCCUACGUGAUCUG